This 65-nucleotide transfer RNA is filed under the name Podarcis lilfordi (Lilford's wall lizard). Its description in RNAcentral is "tRNA.Sup". Lineage: Eukaryota; Metazoa; Chordata; Lepidosauria; Squamata; Lacertidae. The record is from RNAcentral.
GAGCUCAGUCCAGUAGAGCGUGAGACUUAAUCUCAGGGCUACGGGUUCAAGCCCCAGCUUGGGCA